Molecule: ribosomal RNA, 467 nt
Filed under: uncultured bacterium
Lineage: Bacteria
Description: partial 16S ribosomal RNA
Rfam family: Bacterial small subunit ribosomal RNA
Source: RNAcentral
GAUGAACGCUGGCGGCGCGCCUAACACAUGCAAGUCGAACGAUUAAAGCACCUUCGGGUGUGUAUAAAGUGGCGAACGGCUGAGUAACACGUGGGCAACCUGCCCCUUUCAUUGGGAUAGCCACGGGAAACCGUGGAUAAUACCGAAUACUUCGAGACUUCCGCAUGGAAGACUCGAGAAAGCUCCGGCGGAGAGGGAUGGGCCCGCGGCCUGUUAGCUUGUUGGUGGGGUAACGGCCUACCAAGGCAAUGAUGGGUAGCUGGGUUGAGAGACCGACCAGCCAGAUUGGGACUGAGACACGGCCCAGACUCCUACGGGGGGCAGCAGUGGGGAAUCUUGCACAAUGGGCGAAAGCCUGAUGCAGCGACGCCGCGUGCGGGAUGAAGGCCUUCGGGUUGUAAACCGCUUUCAGCAGGGACGAGGCGAAAGUGACGGUACCUGCAGAAGAAGCCCCGGCUAACUACGUG